CAAGCUUUCUCUCUCUAGUUCUCU
RNAcentral lists this non-coding RNA (24 nucleotides) under Arabidopsis thaliana (thale cress). Lineage: Eukaryota; Viridiplantae; Streptophyta; Magnoliopsida; Brassicales; Brassicaceae. The record is from RNAcentral.